CCAGCACCCCGAGUGGUCGGGACGAUUAUUGGGCCUAAAGCAUCCGUAGCCGGUUUUACAAGUCCUCCGUUAAAUCCAACUGCUUAACAGAUGGGCCGCGGAGGAUACUAUAAGACUAGGAGGCAGGAGAGGCAAGCGGUACUCAGUGGGUAGGGGUAAAAUCCGUUGAUCCAUUGAAGACCACCAGUGGCGAAGGCGGCUUGCCAGAAUGCGCUCGACGGUGAGGGAUGAAAGCUGGGGGAGCAAACCGGAUUAGAUACCCGGGUAGUCCCAGCCGUAAACGAUGCAGACUCGGUGAUGGACCAGCUUCAUGCUAGUCCAGUGCCGCAGGGAAGCCGUUAAGUCUGCCGCCUGGGUAGUACGGUCGCAAGACUG
This 375-nucleotide ribosomal RNA is filed under the name uncultured organism. Its description in RNAcentral is "bacterial SSU rRNA". It matches the Rfam family "Archaeal small subunit ribosomal RNA", at positions 476 to 851 of the family's 1478-position model. The record is from RNAcentral.